AUUAGGUCAUUUGACUUUGCAUUGAAUUCAAAUAAUGAUCUAAAGAUUUCAUUAUUACUACACAACAACAGCGUAGAGUUUCAUGUCUUUAGUGAAGAAAAGAAAGAUUCAACUAAUAUACUUUCCAU
Molecule: long non-coding RNA, 128 nt
Organism: Xenia sp. Carnegie-2017
Lineage: Eukaryota; Metazoa; Cnidaria; Anthozoa; Malacalcyonacea; Xeniidae
Exons: 2
Source: RefSeq, a predicted model, not a curated record